UGCAGUCGAGCGGUAGAGAGGUGCUUGCACCUCUUGAGAGCGGCGGACGGGUGAGUAAUGCCUAGGAAUCUGCCUGGUAGUGGGGGAUAACGUUCGGAAACGGACGCUAAUACCGCAUACGUCCUACGGGAGAAAGCAGGGGACCUUCGGGCCUUGCGCUAUCAGAUGAGCCUAGGUCGGAUUAGCUAGUUGGUGGGGUAAUGGCUCACCAAGGCGACGAUCCGUAACUGGUCUGAGAGGAUGAUCAGUCACACUGGAACUGAGACACGGUCCAGACUCCUACGGGAGGCAGCAGUGGGGAAUAUUGGACAAUGGGCGAAAGCCUGAUCCAGCCAUGCCGCGUGUGUGAAGAAGGUCUUCGGAUUGUAAAGCACUUUAAGUUGGGAGGAAGGGCAGUUACCUAAUACGUGAUUGUCUUGACGUUACCGACAGAAUAAGCACCGGCUAACUCUGUGCCAG
This 459-nucleotide ribosomal RNA is filed under the name Pseudomonas sp. Lake-D38. RNAcentral describes it as "bacterial SSU rRNA". It matches the Rfam family "Bacterial small subunit ribosomal RNA", at positions 56 to 511 of the family's 1533-position model. The record is from RNAcentral. Lineage: Bacteria; Pseudomonadati; Pseudomonadota; Gammaproteobacteria; Pseudomonadales; Pseudomonadaceae.